AUUCAUUUGAUGAGUCUCAAAUAGAAUGAAAUGCGCUUCCUGAAU
This 45-nucleotide non-coding RNA is filed under the name Schistosoma curassoni. Lineage: Eukaryota; Metazoa; Platyhelminthes; Trematoda; Strigeidida; Schistosomatidae. The record is from RNAcentral.